CGAACACUGAGCGCUUGGCAGCGUCAGGCACAAGGCAUACCUGAGGAUAGAACGUAGAUCUGUCCGUUCGCGAACUGUUCGAUAUCGAGGGACAACGAGCCGGAGGAAGUCAGCGCGGGCGACGUCGGUGAGCGAGAAAUUGUGGCCAGCGUCCUUCGCUUGGACAUCAAUGGCUACUGCCUGCUUAGGGCUGAGUCAAAUGGCAGCAAAAUGGGCAGGGAGCGGGCAGACAGCUCGUUCUCGUAUUCCAAGGUUUUGCUUGACUGGGAACACCGAUAAACAGAAAAAGAAAAAUUAGCCA
Molecule: small RNA, 301 nt
Filed under: Histoplasma capsulatum var. duboisii H88
Lineage: Eukaryota; Fungi; Ascomycota; Eurotiomycetes; Onygenales; Ajellomycetaceae
Description: Histoplasma capsulatum H88 hypothetical RNA
Source: RNAcentral